AGUGAACGCUGGCGGUAGGCCUAACACAUGCAAGUCGAACGGCAGCACAGUAAGAGCUUGCUCGGACGGGUGGCGAGUGGCGGACGGGUGGGGAAUACAGCGGAAUCUACUUUUUCGUGGGGGAUAACGGAGUGAAACUGAGGCUAAUACCGCAUACGACCUACGGGUGAAAUCAGGGGAUCUUCGGACCUUGCGCGAUUGAAGGAGCCGAUGUCGGAUUAGCUAGUUGGCGGGGUAAAGGCCCACCAAGGCGACGAUCCGUAGCUGGUCUGAGAGGAUGAUCCGCCACACUAGAACUGAGACACGGUCCAGACUCCUACGGGAGGCAGCAGUGGGGAAUAUUGGACCAUGGGCGCAAGCCUGCUCCAGCCAUACCGCGUGGGUGAAGAAGGCCUUCGGGUUGUAAAGCCCUUUUGUUGGGAAAGAAAAGCAGCAGGUUAAUACCCCGCUGUUCUGACGGUACCCAAAGAAUAAGCACCGGCUAACUUCGUG
RNAcentral lists this ribosomal RNA (492 nucleotides) under uncultured bacterium. Its description in RNAcentral is "partial 16S ribosomal RNA". It matches the Rfam family "Bacterial small subunit ribosomal RNA", at positions 29 to 507 of the family's 1533-position model. The record is from RNAcentral.